RNAcentral lists this ribosomal RNA (593 nucleotides) under Hansenula anomala. Its description in RNAcentral is "LSU rRNA". It matches the Rfam family "Eukaryotic large subunit ribosomal RNA", at positions 48 to 654 of the family's 3401-position model. Lineage: Eukaryota; Fungi; Ascomycota; Saccharomycetes; Phaffomycetales; Wickerhamomycetaceae. The record is from RNAcentral.
UAGCGGAGGAAAAGAAACCAACAGGGAUUGCCUCAGUAACGGCGAGUGAAGCGGCAAAAGCUCAAAUUUGAAAUCUAGCACCUUCGGUGUUCGAGUUGUAAUUUGAAGAUGGUAACCUUGGGUUUGGCUCUUGUCUAUGUUCCUUGGAACAGGACGUCAUAGAGGGUGAGAAUCCCGUCUGAUGAGAUGCCCAUUCCUAUGUAAGGUGCUAUCGAAGAGUCGAGUUGUUUGGGAAUGCAGCUCUAAGUGGGUGGUAAAUUCCAUCUAAAGCUAAAUAUUGGCGAGAGACCGAUAGCGAACAAGUACAGUGAUGGAAAGAUGAAAAGAACUUUGAAAAGAGAGUGAAAAAGUACGUGAAAUUGUUGAAAGGGAAGGGCAUUAGAUCAGACUUGGUGUUUUACGAUUAUCUUCUCUUCUUGAGUUGUGCACUCGUAUUUCACUGGGCCAGCAUCGAUUCGGAUGGCAAGAUAAUGGCAGUUGAAUGUGGCUUCACUUCGGUGGAGUGUUAUAGCUUCUGCUGAUAUUGCCUGUCUGGAUCGAGGGCUGCGUCUUUUGACUAGGAUGCUGGCGUAAUGAUCUAAUGCCGCCCGUCU